RNAcentral lists this ribosomal RNA (509 nucleotides) under uncultured bacterium. RNAcentral describes it as "bacterial SSU rRNA". It matches the Rfam family "Bacterial small subunit ribosomal RNA", at positions 28 to 531 of the family's 1533-position model. The record is from RNAcentral.
GAUGAACGCUAGCGGCAGGCUUAACACAUGCAAGUCGAGGGGCAGCGCGAUGUAGCAAUACAUUGGCGGCGACCGGCGCACGGGUGCGUAACACGUAUGGAACUUACCCUUUACUGGGAGAUAGCCCGGAGAAAUCCGGAUUAAUAUCCCAUAAUAAACGAAGUGGCAUCACUUUGUUUUGAAAGCUCCGGCGGUAAAGGAUGGCCAUGCGCACGAUUAGCUAGUAGGUGAGGUAACGGCUCACCUAGGCUACGAUCGUUAGGGGGCCUGAGAGGGUUAUCCCCCACACUGGUACUGAGACACGGACCAGACUCCUACGGGAGGCAGCAGUGGGGAAUAUUGCGCAAUGGAGGCAACUCUGACGCAGCCAUGCCGCGUGCAGGAAGAAGGCGCUACGCGUUGUAAACUGCUUUUAACCGGGAAGAAACCCUCCGACGUGUCGGAGGUUGACGGUACCGGAGGAAUAAGCACCGGCUAACUUCGUGCCAGCAGCCGCGGUAAAGUCAGUG